GACGAACGCUGGCGGCGUGCUUAACACAUGCAAGUCGAACGAAAAGAGGGAAAGAGCUUGCUCUUUCCGGAAUUGAGUGGCAAACGGGUGAGUAACACGUAAACAACCUGCCUUCAGGAUGGGGACAACAGACGGAAACGACUGCUAAUACCGAAUAAGUUCCAAGGGCCGCAUGGCCCAUGGAAGAAAAGGUGGCCUCUACCUGUAAGCUAUCGCCUGAAGAGGGGUUUGCGUCUGAUUAGCUGGUUGGAGGGGUAACGGCCCACCAAGGCGACGAUCAGUAGCCGGUCUGAGAGGAUGAACCGCCAAACUGGAACUGAGACACGGUCCAGACUCCUACGGGAGGCAGCAGUGGGGAAUCUUCCGCAAUGGGCGAAAGCCUGACGGAGCAACGCCGCGGGAGUGAUGACGGCCUUCGGGUUGUAAAACUCUGUGAUCCGGGACGAAAAGGCAGAGUGCGAAGAACAAACUGCAUUGACGGUACCGGAAAAGCAAGCCACGGCUAACUACGUG
Molecule: ribosomal RNA, 513 nt
Filed under: uncultured bacterium
Lineage: Bacteria
Description: partial 16S ribosomal RNA
Rfam family: Bacterial small subunit ribosomal RNA
Source: RNAcentral